This 1076-nucleotide long non-coding RNA is filed under the name Nicotiana benthamiana. RNAcentral describes it as "long non-coding RNA (NBEN_LNC021082)". Lineage: Eukaryota; Viridiplantae; Streptophyta; Magnoliopsida; Solanales; Solanaceae. The record is from RNAcentral.
UGAGUUUUCCUUUCGCACUCGAGUAAGAGUUGUGACAUAGGAUGUACAGAUAUGUAAAUAUAUUCCCUCGUAUUCUUCCUUUUGGGGUAUGAGACCAGUUGGUCUUUAUCUUCUUGUUUGACAAGUCUUCGUAUGAUGUAAAGUUGUAAACUAUUACACUUCUUUUUACUAAUUUGGAUAUUUCUCAUCUAGCCUGGAAUAUAAGAUAAAGAGGCAUAUGACAACCAGCACUGGAUGAUUUUGUUUUCUCAUAGUCUCUAAACCACUAAAGUCAAGGACUUAUCAAACAAAAAUUAAGCGAAGCCUCGCACAAGUUUUCCUCUUUCAAGUUACAACAAUAAAACCAAUUGUAAUCUCAGAUUGUGGAGUUUAGGGGUAAAGUGUACCAAUAGAGAGACUGUUUCCGAAAGACCCUAGGCUCAAUUUUCGGCAGGUUUGAACAGAAGAACUUUCCUCUCUAAAGUUGCAUGGCAUUAUUCACAUACAUAAGUAAUCGACAUACCAACAGUAGCGCAGCAGCACCACAAGUAUUACUAAGCUUCAAAGUUGACUUAGAAACAUAUUGGACGGUCCAUACAAGAUGGAAAUCUCAAGACAAAGCAAAUACUUGUCAUCCAUUUAACUCCGGACUCGGUUCGUCAUUCAGUUGCUUUUCCUUUGCUGCGUCUGCUGCUACUGCUGGUUUCUACAAGAUAACAAACCAUAGAAUCCACAUCGUCCCCAAAUAAGCUAUAAGCCUCAAUUACUCGUGGAUAGCUAAAACCCAUCGACAGCAUAAUCUGGAUGCAGUCGCUAAAGGUGGAAUCUGGCAAGCAGAGCCCAUCUUCCUGCUGUUUCUCACUUCCAGAUGACCCUACAAUUCAAUGUUAAAAUAGCAUAAUCUGGAUGCAGUCACUAAAGGUGGAAUCUGGCAAGCAGAGCCCAUGUUCCUGCCGUUUCUCACUUCCAGAUGACCCUACAAUUCAAUGUUAAAAUUUACAGUUCAAACCCGCAAACUUAUUGAUCUUACAUCGAUAGAGGUGCAACCAAGAAAAUAAAGUAAGAUACUUUAAACUUCGUCAAAUGUAAGCUCAAAC